ACAGAGGGGGCAAGCGUUGCUCGGAAUUACUGGGCGUAAAGGGCGCGUAGGCGGGAUGGCAAGUCGGUCGUGAAAUCCCUCGGCUCAACUGAGGUACGUCGAUCGAUACUGCCGUUCUUGAGGGUUGCAGAGGAGACUGGAAUUCCCGGUGUAGCGGUGAAAUGUGUAGAGAUGUGGAGGAACACCAGUGGCGAAGGCGGCUCUCUGGCCUGUAACUGACGCUGAGGCGCGAAAGCGUGGGGAGCAAACAGGA
Molecule: ribosomal RNA, 253 nt
Filed under: uncultured prokaryote
Description: partial 16S ribosomal RNA
Rfam family: Bacterial small subunit ribosomal RNA
Source: RNAcentral